AUUGAACGCUGGCGGCGUGCUUAACACAUGCAAGUCGUGCGGUAACAGGCGUAGCAAUACGUGCUGACGAGCGGCGAACGGGUGCGUAAUACAUGGGAAUCUGCCCUUUAGUGGGGAAUAACCCGGCGAAAGCCGGGCUAAUGCCGCAUAAGAUCUUCGGAUGAAAGCGGGGGAUCGUAAGACCUCGCGCUGAUGGGUGAGCCCAUGUCGGAUUAGCUAGNGGUGAGGUAACGGCUCACCAAGGCGACGAUCCGUAGCUGGUCUGAGAGGACGGCCAGCCACACUGGGACUGAGACACGGCCCAGACUCCUACGGGAGGCAGCAGUGGGAAUAUUGGACAAUGGGGGAAACCCUGAUCCAGCGACGCCGCGUGUGUGAAGAAGGCCU
This 387-nucleotide ribosomal RNA is filed under the name uncultured bacterium. Its description in RNAcentral is "bacterial SSU rRNA". It matches the Rfam family "Bacterial small subunit ribosomal RNA", at positions 29 to 417 of the family's 1533-position model. The record is from RNAcentral.